UCUAUUGGCAGACCACUGCAUUAGAAUUAGAAUCUAAUUACCCUAU
Molecule: transfer RNA, 46 nt
Filed under: Iberesia sp. CRBAME000677
Lineage: Eukaryota; Metazoa; Arthropoda; Arachnida; Araneae; Nemesiidae
Description: tRNA-Leu
Source: RNAcentral